RNAcentral lists this ribosomal RNA (835 nucleotides) under uncultured bacterium. Its description in RNAcentral is "bacterial SSU rRNA". It matches the Rfam family "Bacterial small subunit ribosomal RNA", at positions 26 to 870 of the family's 1533-position model. The record is from RNAcentral.
AGGACGAACGCUGGCGGCGUGCUUCAUACAUGCAAGUCGAACGGGUAUCAGUCGGUGGCAACACCGACGAAGUACUAGUGGCGAACGGGUGAGUAUCACGUGAGGAACUUGCCCCGGACUCUGGGAUAACAGGUGGAAACACCUGCUAAUACCGGAUGCCAUCGGUGGAUCGCAUGGUCUACCGAUGAAAGAAUUUCGGUCCGGGAUGGCCUCGCGGCCUAUCAGCUAGUUGGCGGGGUAACGGCCUACCAAGGCAUCGACGGGUAGCUGGUCUGAGAGGAUGAUCAGCCACACUGGGACUGAGACACGGCCCAGACUCCUACGGGAGGCAGCAGUAGGGAAUCUUGCGCAAUGGGCGAAAGCCUGACGCAGCAACGCCGCGUGCGGGAAGAAGGCCUUCGGGUUGUAAACCGCUUUUGGCAGGAACGAAAAUGACGGUACCUGCAGAAUAAGGUGCGGCCAACUACGUGCCAGCAGCCGCGGUGACACGUAGGCACCAAGCGUUGUCCGGAUUUAUUGGGCGUAAAGAGCUCGUAGGCGGUUCAGUUAGUCGGGUGUGAAAACUCUGGGCUUAACCCGGAGACGCCACCCGAUACUGCUGAACUUGAGUACGGUAGGGGAGCGGGGAAUUCCUGGUGUAGCGGUGAAAUGCGCAGAUAUCAGGAGGAACACCGGUGGCGAAGGCGCCGCUCUGGGCCGAAACUGACGCUGAGGAGCGAAAGCGUGGGUAGCAAACAGGAUUAGAUACCCUGGUAGUCCACGCCGUAAACGUUGGGCACUAGGUGUGGGUUCCAACCAACGGAAUCCGUGCCGUCGCUAACGCAUUAAGUGCCCC